GCGACGACCGGCGCACGGGUGAGUAACGCGUAUCCAACCUGCCCAUAACUAAGGGAUAAUCCGUAGAAAUGCGGUCUAAUACCUUAUGUGUUCCGACGAGGACAUCUGAAUUGGAAUAAAGAUUUAUCGGUUAUGGAUGGGGAUGCGUCUGAUUAGAUUGUUGGCGGGGCAACGGCCCACCAAGUCUACGAUCAGUAGGGGUUCUGAGAGGAAGGUCCCCCACAUUGGAACUGAGACACGGUCCAAACUCCUACGGGAGGCAGCAGUGAGGAAUAUUGGUCAAUGGGCGGGAGCCUGAACCAGCCAAGUAGCGUGCAGGAUGACGGCCCUAUGGGUUGUAAACUGCUUUUGUAUGGGGAUAAAGUGCUCCACGUGUGGAGUUUUGCAGGUACCAUACGAAUAAGGACCGGCUAAUUCCGUGCCAGCAGCCGCGGUAAUACGGAAGGUCCGGGCGUUAUCCGGAUUUAUUGGGUUUAAAGGGAGCGUAGGCCGUGGAUUAAGUGUGUUGUGAAAUGCAGGCGCUCAACGUCUGACUUGCAGCGCAUACUGGUCCAUUUGAGUGCGCACAACGCGGGCGGAAUUUGUCGUGUAGCGGUGAAAUGCUUAGAUAUGACGAAGAACCCCGAUUGCGAAGGCAGCUCGCGGGAGCGCAACUGACGCUGAAGCUCGAAAGUGCGGGUAUCGAACAGGAUUAGAUACCCUGGUAGUCCGCACGGUAACGAUGGAUGCCCGCUUUUCGGUCAUUAGACCGUGAGGCCAAGUGAAAACAUUAAGCAUCCCACCUGGGGAGUACGCCGGCA
This 800-nucleotide ribosomal RNA is filed under the name uncultured rumen bacterium. RNAcentral describes it as "bacterial SSU rRNA". It matches the Rfam family "Bacterial small subunit ribosomal RNA", at positions 88 to 890 of the family's 1533-position model. The record is from RNAcentral.